Molecule: long non-coding RNA, 1341 nt
Filed under: Ananas comosus (pineapple)
Lineage: Eukaryota; Viridiplantae; Streptophyta; Magnoliopsida; Poales; Bromeliaceae
Description: long non-coding RNA (ACOM_LNC031969)
Source: RNAcentral
CUGCUGCAGGUUUCAAUGGAGCUGUGGAAGAUGGAGGAGGAGGAGGCAACAGUGGAAGACAUGGUCGUCAUGCGAAAAAAAAAUAGCAGAUGAGAUUCUUGUAGAAAAGAUUUGGAAAGAGAAGAAAACGUAAAAACUUUUUCCAAAGUGGGAGCAAAUGAUCAACUUGGCCUAUCCUGGACAUCUUUACACUGCCCUUUUAGGUAUCGUUUGGUUCGGGUAUGAGAUUGAACUGCUUAUUUUAGGGAUGGGUACAAAAUGUUGGAACUAGCUGGAACUAUUGUAUUUUUGUGUUUGAUUGAGCAUUAUGUUUGUAGCAUGUAUAAAGAAUAUAGUGUUUGGAUGUAUAAGAUAGAAUAAGAUGAAUAAAUGUUGGUUAAAAGUUAAAAUUACGUUUUUACCCCUUGUGCUUAUAAUCCUAUAAAAACAAAAUAUGAUAUAAUUAUAUAUAAAUAUAAUUCACUCUAAUUUUCAUUCUUGAAAAAUUAUUUAAUUAAUUAUUAUAUUGUUAAAAAAAGCGUUACUUUUCAAAUAAAUUUAUUUCUGCGAAUUUUCGCUCGUUAUAAUUAAACUAAACUUCUCCUAAAAAUAAAUAUAUUUAAUAAUAAUUCAAUAAGGUUUAUAACCAUGUUAGCAAAUAAUUAACUACAGUAAAACAAAUUAAAAUAAAAAUAUUCCAAUGCAUAUGUUAAUAUGUUACAAACAUUUCAAUCUAAAUGUUACAAAUAUUCCAAUCCAUAUUAAUAACAACCUAUUAAUAAUACUGCAAUAAGGUUUAUAACUAUGUUAGUAAAUAAUUAACACAACCUGUUGUUGUCCAGGCCAUAUAACACACUGAAAGGGUUCGGUGACAACGGAAUAGGAGAAAGGAAUCUAUUGCGAACUUCUAUACCAUCAUUACGACGAUGGUGACAUGAUCAUAGAGUUGACCCUUGUCCUGGUGUUUCUCUGCAGGUUUCAAUGGAGCUGUGGAAGAUGGAGGAGGAGGAGGCAACAGUAGAAGACAUAGUUGCCACGCGAAAAAAAAAUGGCAGAGGAGAUUCUUGUAGGAAAGAUUUGGGAAGAGGAGAAAGCGUAAAAACUUUUUCCGAAGUAGGAGCAAAUGAUCAACUUAGCCUAUCUUGGACAUCUUUACACUGCCCUUUUAGGUAUCUUUUGGUUCAGGUAUAAGAUGGAACUACUUAUUCCAGGGAUAGGUGCAAAUGUUGAAACUAAGGUGGAACUAUUGUAUUUUUGUGUUUGAUUGAGUAUUAUGUUUAUAACAGGUAUAAGAAAAAUAGUGUUUGGAUGUUUAAGAUAGAAUAAGAUGAAUAAAUGUUGGUUAAAAAUUAAAUUACGUUU